Molecule: non-coding RNA, 84 nt
Organism: Pelobates cultripes (western spadefoot toad)
Lineage: Eukaryota; Metazoa; Chordata; Amphibia; Anura; Pelobatidae
Source: the annotation of a GenBank genome assembly
GUGUGUGUAUAUAAUGCAGUGUGUUUGUGUAGUGUGCAUUAUAUACACACACUAUACAAACACACUGCAUUAUAUACACAGUGU